GCGGGAGUAACUCAAUGGUAGAGUCUCUGCCUUCCAAGCAGAUGGUCGCGGGUUCGAGUCCCGUCUCCCGCU
This 72-nucleotide transfer RNA is filed under the name Candidatus Rifleibacteriota bacterium. Its description in RNAcentral is "tRNA-Gly". It matches the Rfam family "tRNA". From Rfam's summary of the family: Transfer RNA (tRNA) molecules are approximately 80 nucleotides in length. Their secondary structure includes four short double-helical elements and three loops (D, anti-codon, and T loops). Further hydrogen bonds mediate the characteristic L-shaped molecular structure. tRNAs have two regions of fundamental functional importance: the anti-codon, which is responsible for specific mRNA codon recognition, and the 3' end, to which the tRNAs corresponding amino acid is attached (by aminoacyl-tRNA synthetases). tRNAs cope with the degeneracy of the genetic code in two manners: having more than one tRNA (with a specific anti-codon) for a particular amino acid; and 'wobble' base-pairing, i.e. permitting non-standard base-pairing at the 3rd anti-codon position. Lineage: Bacteria; Candidatus Rifleibacteriota. The record is from RNAcentral.